RNAcentral lists this ribosomal RNA (494 nucleotides) under uncultured bacterium. RNAcentral describes it as "bacterial SSU rRNA". It matches the Rfam family "Bacterial small subunit ribosomal RNA", at positions 8 to 490 of the family's 1533-position model. The record is from RNAcentral.
AGAGUUUGAUCCUGGCUCAGAUUGAACGCUGACGGCGUGCCUAACACAUGCAAGUCGUGCGAGAAAGUGGGCUUCGGCCCGCGAGUACAGCGGCGCACGAGUGAGUAACACGUGGGUGAUCUCCCUAACAGAUUGGGAUAACAGCGGGAAACUGCUGCUAAUACCGGAUACGAUCCAUUUAAUCGUGGAUGAAAGGCGGCCUCUGCUUGCAAGCUGCCACUGUUAGAUGAGCCCGCGUCCCAUUAGCUUGUUGGCGGGGUAACGGCCCACCAAGGCGACGAUGGGUAGCUGGUCUGAGAGGAUGACCAGCCACACUGGCCCCUGUUACACGGCCCAGACUCCUACGGGAGGCAGCAGUGGGGAAUAUUGCGCAAUGGGCGAAAGCCUGACGCAGCGUCCCCUGUGAGGGAAGAAGGCCUUCGGGUCGUAAACGUUUUCCAAGGAAGAACCCCCAAGGUUCGAAUAGGGCUUGGGCUGACGGUACCUCAGAGAAG